AUUGAACGCUGGCGGCAUGCCUUACACAUGCAAGUCGUACGGCAGCACGGGAGCAAUCCUGGUGGCGAGUGGCGAACGGGUGAGUAAAGUAUCGGAACGUGCCCAGUCGUGGGGAUAGCGUAGCGAAAGUUACGCUAAUACCGCAUACGAUCUAUGGAUGAAAGCGGGGGAUCGCAAGACCCCGCGCGAUUGGAGCGGCCGAGAUCAGAUUAGGUAGUUGGUGGGGUAAAGGCUCACCAAGCCGACGAUCUGUAGCUGGUCUGAGAGGACGACCAGCCACACUGGGACUGAGACACGGCCCAGACUCCUACGGGAGGCAGCAGUGGGGAAUUUUGGACAAUGGGCGCAAGCCUGAUCCAGCCAUGCCGCGUGCAGGAUGAAGGCCUUCGGGUUGUAAACUGCUUUUGUACGGAACGAGAGGGUUUGACUUAAUACGUUGGACUCAUGACGGUACCGUAAGAAUAAGCACCGGCUAACUACGUGCCAGCAGCCGCCGUAA
Molecule: ribosomal RNA, 499 nt
Filed under: uncultured bacterium
Lineage: Bacteria
Description: partial 16S ribosomal RNA
Rfam family: Bacterial small subunit ribosomal RNA
Source: RNAcentral